UGGGGAAUAUUGCACAAUGGGCGAAAGCCUGAUGCAGCGACGCCGCGUGAGGGAUGACGGCCUUCGGGUUGUAAACCUCUUUCAGUAGGGAAGAAGCGAAAGUGACGGUACCUGCAGAAGAAGCGCCGGCUAACUACGUGCCAGCAGCCGCGGUAAUACGUAGGGCGCAAGCGUUAUCCGGAAUUAUUGGGCGUAAAGAGCUCGUAGGCGGUUUGUCGCGUCUGCCGUGAAAGUCCGGGGCUCAACUCCGGAUCUGCGGUGGGUACGGGCAGACUAGAGUGAUGUAGGGGAGACUGGAAUUCCUGGUGUAGCGGUGAAAUGCGCAGAUAUCAGGAGGAACACCGAUGGCGAAGGCAGGUCUCUGGGCAUUAACUGACGCUGAGGAGCGAAAGCAUGGGGAGCGAACAGGAUUAGAUACCCUGGUAGUCCACGCCCUAAACGAUGCAUACUUGGUGUGGGCUCUUCACUGAGUCCGUGCCGGAG
This 483-nucleotide ribosomal RNA is filed under the name uncultured Actinomycetes bacterium. RNAcentral's name for it is "bacterial SSU rRNA". It matches the Rfam family "Bacterial small subunit ribosomal RNA", at positions 355 to 851 of the family's 1533-position model. Lineage: Bacteria; Bacillati; Actinomycetota; Actinomycetes. The record is from RNAcentral.